CCCUUAGAUGUCCUGGGCCGCACGCGCGCUACACUGAGUGUCUGAGAUACGAGUCUGCCUGGUCCGGCAAGGUCUAGGUAAUCGCUAAAAGACACAUCAUGCUUGGGAUAGAUUAUUGCAAAUAUUAAUCUUGAACGAGGAAUUCCUAGUAAGCGCAAGUCAACAGCUUGCGAUGAUUACGUCCCUGCCCUUUGUACACACCGCCCGUCGCUACUACUGAUUGGAUGUUUAAGCGAGGUUCUCGAACUGCUAGCGACUUAGCUUCGGUGAGGUCGCAGUGUGGGAAGUGAACCUAGCUUUGGUGUCUAGAGGAAGUAAAAGUCGUAACA
RNAcentral lists this ribosomal RNA (329 nucleotides) under uncultured eukaryote. RNAcentral describes it as "partial 18S ribosomal RNA". It matches the Rfam family "Eukaryotic small subunit ribosomal RNA", at positions 1470 to 1796 of the family's 1831-position model. The record is from RNAcentral.